RNAcentral lists this ribosomal RNA (494 nucleotides) under uncultured bacterium. RNAcentral's name for it is "partial 16S ribosomal RNA". It matches the Rfam family "Bacterial small subunit ribosomal RNA", at positions 28 to 507 of the family's 1533-position model. The record is from RNAcentral.
GACGAACGCUGGCGGCGUGCUUAACACAUGCAAGUCGAACGGUGAAGCGCCUUCCUUUUUGGUGGGUGUGGAUGAGUGGCGAACGGGUGAGUAACACGUGAGUAACCUGCCCCCUUCUUCUGGAUAACCGCAUGAAAGUGUGGCUAAUACGGGAUAUUCUGGGUCUGUCGCAUGAUGGGUCUGGGAAAGAUAUUGUUUCGGUGGGGGAUGGGCUCGCGGCCUAUCAGCUUGUUGGUGGGGUGAUGGCCUACCAAGGCGGUGACGGGUAGCCGGCCUGAGAGGGUGGACGGUCACACUGGGACUGAGACACGGCACAGACUCCUACGGGAGGCAGCAGUGGGGAAUAUUGCACAAGGGGCGCAAGCCUGAUGCAGCGACGCCGCGUGAGGGAUGGAGGCCUGCGGGUUGUGAACCUCUUUCGCCAGUGAAGCAGGCCUGCCUCGUUUGUGGGUGGGUUGACGGUAGCUGGAUAAGAAGCGCCGGCUAACUACGUG